GGUUAGCCGCGAAUGGCUCAUUACAACAGCCAUAGUUUAUUGGAUCUUAACGUCCUACUUGGAUAACUGUAGUAAUUCUAGAGCUAAUACACGCAAAUUAUCCCUAACCUUACGGAAAGGGAGCAUUUAUUAGAACAAAACCAAUCGGCUUCGGCCGUUAUUGGUGAAUCUGAAUAACUACGCUGAUCGCACGGUCUCGUACCGGCGACGUAUCCUUCAAGUGUCUGCCUUAUCAACUGUCGAUGGUAGUUUACAUGACUACCAUGGUUGUAACGGGUAACGGAGAAUAAGGGUUCGACUCCGGAGAGGGAGCCUGAGAAACGGCUACCACAUCCAAGGAAGGCAGCAGGCGCGCAAAUUACCCACUCUCAGAACGAGGAGGUAGUGACGAAAAAUAACGAGACAGUCCUCUAUGAGGUCUGUCAUCGGAAUGGGUACAAUUUAAAUCCUUUAACGAGGAUCUAUUGGAGGGCAAGUCUGGUGCCAGCAGCCGCGGUAAUUCCAGCUCCAAUAGCGUAUAUUAAAGUUGUUGCGGUUAAAAAGCUCGUAGUUGGAUCUGCGGUCGUCGACACUGGUUCUCUUCUUGAGAUACUAGCUGUCGCGACCUACCUUGUUAGAUGUCUCUUGGUGCUCUUCACUGAGUGUCUUGAGCGUCUAGCUCGUUUACUUUGAAAAAAUUAGAGUGCUUAACGCAGGCAUUAGCCUGAAUAGUGGUGCAUGGAAUAAUGGAAUAGGACCUCGGUUCUAUUUUGUUGGUUUUCGGAGCAUGAGGUAAUGAUUAAGAGGGACAGACGGGGGCAUUCGUACUGCUACGUUAGAGGUGAAAUUCUUGGAUCGUAGCAUGACGAACAACUGCGAAAGCAUUGC
Molecule: ribosomal RNA, 867 nt
Filed under: Hypodontolaimus inaequalis
Lineage: Eukaryota; Metazoa; Nematoda; Chromadorea; Chromadorida; Chromadoridae
Description: SSU rRNA
Rfam family: Eukaryotic small subunit ribosomal RNA
Source: RNAcentral